Molecule: ribosomal RNA, 433 nt
Filed under: uncultured Clostridium sp.
Lineage: Bacteria; Bacillati; Bacillota; Clostridia; Eubacteriales; Clostridiaceae
Description: partial 16S ribosomal RNA
Rfam family: Bacterial small subunit ribosomal RNA
Source: RNAcentral
ACGGAGGCAGCAGUGGGGAAUAUUGGACAAUGGGGGAAACCCUGAUCCAGCGACGCCGCGUGAGUGAAGAAGUAUUUCGGUAUGUAAAGCUCUAUCAGCAAGAAAGAAAAUGACGGUACUUGACUAAGAAGCCCCGGCUAACUACGUGCCAGCAGCCGCGGUAAUACGUAGGGGGCAAGCGUUAUCCGGAUUUACUGGGUGUAAAGGGAGCGUAGACGGCGAUGCAAGUCUGAAGUGAAAGCCCGGGGCUCAACCCCGGAACUGCUUUGGAAACUGUAUAGCUAGAGUGCAGGAGAGGUAUGUGGAAUUCCUAGUGUAGCGGUGAAAUGCGUAGAUAUUAGGAGGAACACCAGUGGCGAAGGCGACAUACUGGACUGUAACUGACGUUGAGGCUCGAAGGCGUGGGGAGCAAACAGGAUUAGAUACCCUGGUA